Molecule: small nucleolar RNA, 209 nt
Organism: Ictalurus furcatus (blue catfish)
Lineage: Eukaryota; Metazoa; Chordata; Actinopteri; Siluriformes; Ictaluridae
Product: small nucleolar RNA U3
Exons: 1
Source: RefSeq, a predicted model, not a curated record
AAGACUAAAUUUUCAGUGAUCAUUUCUAUAGUAUCUAUUUAAGAAAUGUAAUUUGAAAGCGUUACGUCUCUCUAAUCACGAUGAUGAGUUUUGAUGUACUCUUCUGAGCGUGAAUUGGAUUUUGGCUAAUUAUUCUUUCAUGGGUUUUAAUUCUGAAUGUUGUUUGUUUCUUCGGAAGCAUGAGAGAAAGAGUACAUGGUCCGAGUGAU